Molecule: ribosomal RNA, 253 nt
Filed under: uncultured bacterium
Lineage: Bacteria
Description: partial 16S ribosomal RNA
Rfam family: Archaeal small subunit ribosomal RNA
Source: RNAcentral
UACCAGCACCCCGAGUGGUCGGGACGUUUAUUGGGCCUAAAGCAUCCGUAGCCGGUUCUACAAGUCUUCCGUUAAAUCCAUCUGCUUAACAGAUGGGCUGCGGAAGAUACUAUAGAGCUAGGAGGCGGGAGAGGCAAGCGGUACUUAGUGGGUAGGGGUAAAAUCCGUUGAUCCACUGAAGACCACCAGUGGCGAAGGCGGCUUGCCAGAACGCGCUCGACGGUGAGGGAUGAAAGCUGGGGGAGCAAACCGG